CCCGCUCAGAACUUAAAGGAAUUGACGGGGACCCGCACAAGCAGCGGAGCAUGUGGUUUAAUUCGAAGCAACGCGAAGAACCUUACCAGAUCUUGACAUCCAAUUGACCAUCUUUUAAUCGAGAUUUUGCCUUCGGGUACAAUUGAGACAGGUGGUGCAUGGUUGUCGUCAGCUCGUGUCGUGAGAUGUUGGGUUAAGUCCCGCAACGAGCGCAACCCUUGUGUUUAGUUGCCAUCAGGUAAUGCUGGGGACUCUAAAGGAACUGCCUACGCAAGUAGUGAGGAAGGCGGGGAUGACGUCAAAUCAGCACGGCCCUUACGUCCAGGGCUACACACGUGCUACAAUGGCCGAUACAGAGGGCAGCUACCUGGUGACAGGAUGCAAAUCUCCAAAGUCGGUCUCAGUUCGGAUCGGAGUCUGCAACCCGACUCCGUGAAGUUGGAUUCGCUAGUAAUCGCGCAUCAGCCAUGGCGCGGUGAAUACGUUCCCGGGCCUU
Molecule: ribosomal RNA, 496 nt
Filed under: uncultured Anaerolineaceae bacterium
Lineage: Bacteria; Bacillati; Chloroflexota; Anaerolineae; Anaerolineales; Anaerolineaceae
Description: bacterial SSU rRNA
Rfam family: Bacterial small subunit ribosomal RNA
Source: RNAcentral